AAAUUGAAGAGUUUGAUCAUGGCUCAGAUUGAACGCUGGCGGCAGGCCUAACACAUGCAAGUCGAACGGUAACAGGAAACAGCUUGCUGUUUCGCUGACGAGUGGCGGACGGGUGAGUAAUGUCUGGGAAACUGCCCGAUGGAGGGGGAUAACUACUGGAAACGGUAGCUAAUACCGCAUAACGUCGCAAGACCAAAGAGGGGGACCUUCGGGCCUCUUGCUAUCGGAUGUGCCCAGAUGGGAUUAGCUAGUAGGUGGGGUAACGGCUCACCUAGGCGACGAUCCCUAGCUGGUCUGAGAGGAUGACCAGCCACACUGGAACUGAGACACG
RNAcentral lists this ribosomal RNA (331 nucleotides) under Shigella flexneri. RNAcentral describes it as "bacterial SSU rRNA". It matches the Rfam family "Bacterial small subunit ribosomal RNA", at positions 1 to 328 of the family's 1533-position model. Lineage: Bacteria; Pseudomonadati; Pseudomonadota; Gammaproteobacteria; Enterobacterales; Enterobacteriaceae. The record is from RNAcentral.